This 497-nucleotide ribosomal RNA is filed under the name uncultured bacterium. Its description in RNAcentral is "partial 16S ribosomal RNA". It matches the Rfam family "Bacterial small subunit ribosomal RNA", at positions 28 to 507 of the family's 1533-position model. The record is from RNAcentral.
GACGAACGCUGGCGGCGUGCCUAAUACAUGCAAGUUGAGCGCUGAAGGUUGGUACUUGUACCAACUGGAUGAGCAGCGAACGGGUGAGUAACGCGUGGGGAAUCUGCCUUUGAGCGGGGGACAACAUUUGGAAACGAAUGCUAAUACCGCAUAAAAACUUUAAACACAAGUUUUAAGUUUGAAAGAUGCAAUUGCAUCACUCAAAGAUGAUCCCGCGUUGUAUUAGCUAGUUGGUGAGGUAAAGGCUCACCAAGGCGAUGAUACAUAGCCGACCUGAGAGGGUGGUCGGCCACAUUGGGACUGAGACACGGCCCAAACUCCUACGGGAGGCAGCAGUAGGGAAUCUUCGGCAAUGGACGAAAGUCUGACCGAGCAACGCCGCGUGAGUGAAGAAGGGUUUCGGAUCGUAAAACUCUGUUGGUAGAGAAGAACGUUGAUGAGAGUGGAAAGCUCAUCAAGUGACGGUAACUACACAGAAAGGGACGGCUAACUACGUG